This 449-nucleotide ribosomal RNA is filed under the name bacterium AC3008. RNAcentral's name for it is "bacterial SSU rRNA". It matches the Rfam family "Bacterial small subunit ribosomal RNA", at positions 29 to 481 of the family's 1533-position model. The record is from RNAcentral.
AUGAACGCUGGCGGCGUGCUUAACACAUGCAAGUCGAACGGGGUUUAAGAAGGAAGCUUGCUUUCAUUUUAAACCUAGUGGCGGACGGGUGAGUAACGCGUGAGGAACCUGCCCUUCAGUGGGGAACAACAACUAGAAAUGGUUGCUAAUACCGCAUAAUGUCGGAGAGCCGCAUGACAUUCCGACCAAAGGAUUUAUUCGCUGAAGGAUGGCCUCGCGUCCGAUUAGGCAGUUGGUGAGGUAACGGCCCACCAAACCUACGAUCGGUAGCCGAACUGAGAGGUUGAUCGGCCACAUUGGGACUGAGACACGGCCCAGACUCCUACGGGAGGCAGCAGUGGGGAAUAUUGGGCAAUGGGCGAAAGCCUGACCCAGCAACGCCGCGUGAAGGAUGACGGUCUUCGGAUUGUAAACUUCUUUAAUUGGGGAAGAACAAAAUGACCUACCCA